UUCGCUUCUUGGCUCUUUGAGCUAAGAUCAUGUGUAGUAUCUGUUCUUUGCAGUGUAAUUUCUGCAACGGUCUCUAAACUG
Molecule: small nuclear RNA, 81 nt
Filed under: Trichobilharzia regenti
Lineage: Eukaryota; Metazoa; Platyhelminthes; Trematoda; Strigeidida; Schistosomatidae
Description: U2 spliceosomal RNA
Rfam family: U2 spliceosomal RNA
About the family: U2 is a small nuclear RNA (snRNA) component of the spliceosome (involved in pre-mRNA splicing).
Source: Rfam by way of RNAcentral